Molecule: ribosomal RNA, 252 nt
Filed under: uncultured bacterium
Lineage: Bacteria
Description: partial 16S ribosomal RNA
Rfam family: Bacterial small subunit ribosomal RNA
Source: RNAcentral
UACGAAGGGGGCUAGCGUGCUCGGAAUUACUGGGCGUAAAGGGCGCGUAGGCGGCACUGUUAGUCAGGCGUGAAAGUCCUGGGCUCAACCUGGGAACUGCGCUUGAUACGGCAGAGCUAGAGGAUGGAAGAGGGUCGCGGAAUUCCCAGUGUAGAGGUGAAAUUCGUAGAUAUUGGGAAGAACACCGGUGGCGAAGGCGGCGACCUGGUCCAUUACUGACGCUGAGGCGCGACAGCGUGGGGAGCAAACAGG